UACGAAGGGGGCUAGCGUUGCUCGGAAUCACUGGGCGUAAAGGGUGCGUAGGCGGGUUUUUAAGUCAGGGGUGAAAUCCUGGAGCUCAACUCCAGAACUGCCUUUGAUACUGAAGAUCUUGAGUCCGGGAGAGGUGAGUGAAACUGCGAGUGUAGAGGUGAAAUUCGUAGAUAUUCGCAAGAACACCAGUGGCGAAGGCGGCUCACUGGCCCGGUACUGACGCUGAGGCACGAAAGCGUGGGGAGCAAACAGG
This 253-nucleotide ribosomal RNA is filed under the name uncultured bacterium. RNAcentral describes it as "partial 16S ribosomal RNA". It matches the Rfam family "Bacterial small subunit ribosomal RNA", at positions 524 to 776 of the family's 1533-position model. The record is from RNAcentral.